GACGAACCGUGCAAACGUUAUUCGGAAUCACUGGGCUUAAAGGGCGCGUAGGCGGGCUCGCCAGUCAGGGGUGAAAGCCCACGGCUCAACCGUGGAAGUGCCUUUGAUACUGCGAGUCUCGAGGGAGGUAGGGGCGUGCGGAACUUCCGGUGGAGCGGUGAAAUGCGUAGAUAUCGGAAGGAACAUCGGUGGCGAAAGCGGCGCGCUGGACCUCUUCUGACGCUGAGGCGCGAAAGCCAGGGGAGCAAACGGG
This 253-nucleotide ribosomal RNA is filed under the name uncultured bacterium. RNAcentral's name for it is "partial 16S ribosomal RNA". It matches the Rfam family "Bacterial small subunit ribosomal RNA", at positions 524 to 776 of the family's 1533-position model. RNAcentral also lists the same sequence under 1 other name. The record is from RNAcentral.